UACGGGGGGAGCAAGCGUUGUUCGGAUUUACUGGGCGUAAAGGGCGCGUAGGCGGCCACCGCAAGUCGGUUGUGAAAUCUCUGGGCUUAACCCAGAAAGGUCAACCGAUACUGCGGGGCUAGAGUGCAGAAGGGGCAACUGGAAUUCCUGGUGUAGCGGUGAAAUGCGCAGAUAUCAGGAGGAACACCGGUGGCGAAGGCGGGUCUCUGGGCCGAUACUGACGCUGAGGAGCGAAAGCGUGGGGAGCGAACAGG
RNAcentral lists this ribosomal RNA (254 nucleotides) under uncultured bacterium. Its description in RNAcentral is "partial 16S ribosomal RNA". It matches the Rfam family "Bacterial small subunit ribosomal RNA", at positions 524 to 776 of the family's 1533-position model. The record is from RNAcentral.